Molecule: ribosomal RNA, 892 nt
Filed under: Paenibacillus forsythiae
Lineage: Bacteria; Bacillati; Bacillota; Bacilli; Caryophanales; Paenibacillaceae
Description: partial 23S ribosomal RNA
Rfam family: Bacterial large subunit ribosomal RNA
Source: RNAcentral
GGUUAAGCUACUAAGAGCACACGGAGGAUGCCUAGGCGCCAGGAGCCGAUGAAGGACGUGGCGAACAACGAAAAGGCCUCGGGGAGCUGUAAGCAAGCGUUGAUCCGGGGGUGUCCGAAUGGGGAAACCCGGCUGUGGUAAUGCACAGUCACUGCUCUCUGAAUUCAUAGGAGAGCUAGAGGCAGACCAGGGGAACUGAAACAUCUAAGUACCCUGAGGAAGAGAAAACAAGAGUGAUUCCGUCAGUAGCGGCGAGCGAACGCGGAACAGCCUAAACCAGGGAGCUUGCUCCCUGGGGUUGUGGGACGUCUCCCAUGGAGUUACAAAGGAAUAGGGUAAACGAAGAGGUCUGGAAAGGCCCGCCAGAGAAGGUAAAAGCCCUGUACUUGAAAUUCUAUUCCCUCCGAGACGGAUCCCGAGUAGUGCGGGGCACGUGAAACCCCGUAUGAAUCCGGCAGGACCAUCUGCCAAGGCUAAAUACUCCCUGGCGACCGAUAGUGAAACAGUACCGUGAGGGAAAGGUGAAAAGCACCCCGGAAGGGGAGUGAAACAGGUCCUGAAACCGUGUGCUUACAAGAAGUCAGAGCCCAUUUUAGGGGUGAUGGCGUGCCUUUUGUAGAAUGAACCGGCGAGUUACGUUUAACGUGCAAGGUUAAGGCGAGAAGCCGGAGCCGCAGCGAAAGCGAGUCUGAAUAGGGCGCUUAAGUACGUGGGCGUAGACCCGAAACCGGGUGAUCUACCCCUGUCCAGGGUGAAGGUGCGGUAACACGCACUGGAGGCCCGAACCCACGAACGUUGAAAAGUUCGGGGAUGAGGUGGGGGUAGCGGAGAAAUUCCAAUCGAACUCGGAGAUAGCUGGUUCUCCCCGAAAUAGCUUUAGGGCUAGCCUCGG